GUUAUCAUAGCUUAUUUAAAGCAUAGUGCUGAAAACACUAAGACGGCCGCCACCUGAUCAACA
Molecule: transfer RNA, 63 nt
Filed under: Myanophis thanlyinensis
Lineage: Eukaryota; Metazoa; Chordata; Lepidosauria; Squamata; Homalopsidae
Description: tRNA-Phe
Source: RNAcentral